GCCAGGCAUGGUGGUGCAUGCCUGUAAUCCCACCACCUUGGGAAGCUGAGGCAGGAGGAUUGAGAGUUCAAAGCCAGCCUUAGCAAAGGUGAGGUGCUAAGCAACUCAGUGAGACCCUGUCUCUA
This 125-nucleotide small RNA is filed under the name Marmota monax (woodchuck). Lineage: Eukaryota; Metazoa; Chordata; Mammalia; Rodentia; Sciuridae. The record is from RNAcentral.